Molecule: long non-coding RNA, 288 nt
Filed under: Aquilegia coerulea
Lineage: Eukaryota; Viridiplantae; Streptophyta; Magnoliopsida; Ranunculales; Ranunculaceae
Description: long non-coding RNA (ACOE_LNC000349)
Source: RNAcentral
AUUUGUUGUUAGCUAUUAAGAGACUUGAACAUCUUUAUGUAAGAAAUUGCUCCAGUUUGAAGGAAAUAGUUGGAGGAGAAAAUAAACAUGAAGUGCCAGACGAUCAUUCCUGUUUGUUACCUCAACUCAAAACUCUCGAAUUGUACAACUUGAGGAGUCUAACAAGCUUUACCAAGGCGAUAUACCUAUCAGUUGUACUUUGGAAAAGAUUGAUGUUCGUGGAUGUAGGAAUUUGAAGAAGUUUCCCCUUGCACCACAAACUGCUUCCCAUCUACAAACUUUCAAAGC